AUAGCGUAUAUUAAAGUUGUUGCAGUUAAAAAGCUCGUAGUUGAACUUCAGAUUUGGUCGGGUGGUCCGCUUAACGGCGUGUUACUGCUUGGCUGGGUCUUGUCUCUUGGUGAACCAUUGUGCCCUUUAUUGGUGUGCUUUGGGGAACCAGGACUUUUACCUUGAGAAAAUUAGAGUGUUCAAAGCAGGCCUAUGCCUGGAUACAUUAGCAUGGAAUAAUAAAAUAGGACGUGCGGUUCUAUUUUGUUGGUUUCUAGAGUCGUCGUAAUGAUUAAUAGGGAUAGUUGGGGGCAUUAGUAUUCAGUUGCUAGAGGUGAAAUUCUUGGAUUUACUGAAGACUAACUACUG
Molecule: ribosomal RNA, 348 nt
Filed under: Ramariopsis kunzei
Lineage: Eukaryota; Fungi; Basidiomycota; Agaricomycetes; Agaricales; Clavariaceae
Description: SSU rRNA
Rfam family: Eukaryotic small subunit ribosomal RNA
Source: RNAcentral